UAGUCCACGCCGUAAACAAUGGAUACUAGGCGGUCGAAGUGUUAACCCUUUGACUGCCGUAGCUCACGCAUUAAGUAUCCCGCCUGGGGAGUACGGUCGCAAGGCUAAAACUCAAAGGAAUUGACGGGGGCCCGCACAAGCGGUGGAGUAUGUGGUUUAAUUCGAAGCAACGCGCAGAACCUUACCUGGCCUUGACAUCCCGCGACAACUACAGAGAUGUAGCUUUCCCUUCGGGGACGCGGUGACAGAUGCUGCAUGGCUGUCGUCAGCUCGUGUUGUGAAAUGUUCGGUUAAGUCCGGCAACGAGCGCAACCCUUAUUCUUAGUUGCCAUCAUUAAGUUGGGCACUCUGAGGAGACUGCCGGUGUUAAGCCGGGAGGAAGGCGGGGAUGACGUCAAGUCCUCAUGGCUCUUACGGGCCAGGGGCUACACACGUACUACAAUGGCAAAGACAAAGGGCUGCAUAACCGCGAGGUGAAGCUAAUCUACAAAAACAUU
RNAcentral lists this ribosomal RNA (497 nucleotides) under uncultured bacterium. RNAcentral describes it as "bacterial SSU rRNA". It matches the Rfam family "Bacterial small subunit ribosomal RNA", at positions 791 to 1284 of the family's 1533-position model. The record is from RNAcentral.